GACGAACGCUGGCGGCGUGCUUAACACAUGCAAGUCGAACGGAAAGGCCCUGCCUUUGUGGGGUGCUCGAGUGGCGAACGGGUGAGUAACACGUGAGUAACCUGCCCUUGACUUUGGGAUAACUUCAGGAAACUGGGGCUAAUACCGGAUAGGAGCUCCUGCUGCAUGGUGGGGGUUGGAAAGUUUCGGCGGUUGGGGAUGGACUCGCGGCUUAUCAGCUUGUUGGUGGGGUAGUGGCUUACCAAGGCUUUGACGGGUAGCCGGCCUGAGAGGGUGACCGGCCACGUUGGGACUGAGAUACGGCCCAGACUCCUACGGGAGGCAGCAGUGGGGAAUAUUGCACAAUGGGCGGAAGCCUGAUGCAGCAACGCCGCGUGCGGGAUGACGGCCUUCGGGUUGUAAACCGCUUUCGCCUGUGACGAAGCGUGAGUGACGGUAAUGGGUAAAGAAGCACCGGCUAACUACGUG
This 468-nucleotide ribosomal RNA is filed under the name uncultured bacterium. RNAcentral's name for it is "partial 16S ribosomal RNA". It matches the Rfam family "Bacterial small subunit ribosomal RNA", at positions 28 to 507 of the family's 1533-position model. The record is from RNAcentral.